GAUGAACGCUGGCGGCGUGCCUAAUACAUGCAAGUCGAGCGAACGGACGAGAAGCUUGCUUUUCUGAUGUUAGCGGCGGACGGGUGAGUAACACGUGGAUAACCUACCUAUAAGACUGGGAUAACUUCGGGAAACCGGAGCUAAUACCGGAUAAUAUUUUGAACCGCAUGGUUCAAAAGUGAAAGACGGUCUUGCUGUCACUUAUAGAUGGAUCCGCGCUGCAUUAGCUAGUUGGUAAGGUAACGGCUUACCAAGGCAACGAUGCAUAGCCGACCUGAGAGGGUGAUCGGCCACACUAGAACUGAGACACGGUCCAGACUCCUACGGGAGGCAGCAGUAGGGAAUCUUCCGCAAUGGGCGAAAGCCUGACGGAGCAACGCCGCGUGAGUGAUGAAGGUCUUCGGAUCGUAAAACUCUGUUAUUAGGGAAGAACAUAUGUGUAAGUAACUGUGCUCAUCUUGACGGUACCUAAUCAGAAAGCCACGGCUAACUACGUG
RNAcentral lists this ribosomal RNA (497 nucleotides) under uncultured bacterium. Its description in RNAcentral is "partial 16S ribosomal RNA". It matches the Rfam family "Bacterial small subunit ribosomal RNA", at positions 28 to 507 of the family's 1533-position model. The record is from RNAcentral.